RNAcentral lists this unclassified non-coding RNA (249 nucleotides) under Hevea brasiliensis (rubber tree). Lineage: Eukaryota; Viridiplantae; Streptophyta; Magnoliopsida; Malpighiales; Euphorbiaceae. The record is from RNAcentral.
GUGCUCUUCAACAUUCUCUUCUCUUGAGGACCAGAAUCUGAAUUUCUUGAAUUUUGGGUGCUCUCUUCUCUAUCUCUUUGAUACGAGAAUAUGCUAUUAAUAAAAUGGUUUAGAGCUGUUUUACUAUUCACCAAUGAAAAGAAGAAACGUGACAGCUGUAGCGUAGAAUAUGGAAGAAGCAGAGCGUUCAUGGUUCUUCUUUAGCCACUCUUCUGUAGCUACCUCUUGUAUAAAUAAUGAAAGAAUGUU